Setaria italica (foxtail millet) is the source of this 327-nucleotide long non-coding RNA. RefSeq lists it as uncharacterized. The transcript is spliced from 2 exons. The record is from RefSeq and is a predicted model, not a curated record. Lineage: Eukaryota; Viridiplantae; Streptophyta; Magnoliopsida; Poales; Poaceae.
GAGCUACUAUUUUUAUUCUCAGGAUUCGCGUGUAUGUCGCUGCGGUUGAUCAUGUCCUGAAUGAGAAACGGUUCAUGAUCCCAGGCCUUUGGAGAUGCUGGAGACCGAAGCUAUGGGACCUAGCUAAUGAUCUAGAGCUCGAGAGAUGCAGCUGGGCCUGGGCGCCUGGCUGGCUUAUUCAGAAUUGAAGCAGAGCAAGAAUGUAGCCAUGGGGGUAGCCUGAGAAGGGCAUCUGCUCGUUGUAAAAGGCACCAGCUUGACUUUGUGGCAUGGCACGCAAAUGAUAUGAGAUGCUCACAGUGGGAGAAUUUAAAUAAAUUGUUGCUA